Molecule: non-coding RNA, 2128 nt
Organism: Cricetulus griseus (Chinese hamster)
Lineage: Eukaryota; Metazoa; Chordata; Mammalia; Rodentia; Cricetidae
Source: RefSeq, a predicted model, not a curated record
CGGAAGUGAAGCCUCCGCCGGAAGUGCCGCCGCCUUCUUCCCCACGGCCCCGUGCCGACGGACCCGUCCUGUUGUGUCGCCCCCUCCCCGGCUGCGUACGUACCUGGGAUCGCGUCAUAAUUAAUAUGCAUAUUUGGGCCCAGAGAUGUGAAGCUAGAAAACGGUGAAAAUGAAAUCUAUGGGUGCAAUAAUUUCAGAAGGACGUCUGUCUUAUAAACAGGAUAUACUUGAAGGUGAAACUCCUCAAGGAAGCCAUUUUGGAUUGUGCCGGUGUAGGCCUGCUCAUUUGUACACUUCACCUGCCCAUACCUAGGCUUCAAUGUUUCUACAAAUUGGAUCAGCGGCAAUGGCUAAGAGAAAGAGGACCCUUGAUGACAACUUUCACCGAAAGCUGUUCCAAUGAAGGGAACAUCACAACCAACCUGAAGGGGCACACAGGAGGAAGCCUCGUGAGGAAGCCUUGUUUUGACCCUCUUAUGUGUUCUGAUGGCAAAAAGCAAGGAGACAUGUGGGUUGAGAGAAUAUGAUUGGAGAAAGAGGGCAAGUCCUGUCUGAUGUAGGUUGAGAGAGAGCUACUAAAUGAAGGCUGGAGUGUUGACGGCUGCAUUUCCACACAAAGUGUUAGGGGACCAGAGACCCACUCUGCAAGAGCCUACUUCUGUUAGCCACUGUGCAAGAUGGCAAUAUUUAGGGCCGAACUCUAUGCUGAUACAUCUUCAAGUGUUCUUUAUCUUUAACUAAACUUUUAUUUUUCAAGCCGAGUAUGCUUACAUUUUUGUCUCUCACUUCAAUAUUUUAAACAUGUGCCUCAGGAUGUUGAGAUAAGCAAGCCCUAAGUUGUAGCUAUCCCUUCCUCUCAAAUUAUAGUCUUAACUAGGCAUGCUUGGGAAUGGCCAGCUCUUGUAUGAGUAUGAAUAGGAUCCCUGAAUAAAACCCCCAUGCUCCCUCUGUUCAAAGAGGGCAUCAUUUUGGAAACAAAAUAAUCUCUUUUUGUGGUAAGGCAAUAAACCAAUCUGUGGUGAUAUCUUUAUUGUACAAAUAUAGCAUGCCUGGAGAUCAGAGAGAUGGAGGAGCACCUUACCUUGCCAACUUCCCAGCUGAAAAGAGAAUGAGUUCCUGUUUCCUCUUGCUCAUAUUCCUCUCUCCACCCAGCCAUCUCACUUCCUGUCUCUGCCCAGACAUCUCACUUCCUGUCUGUCUCUUAGCAAGUGGCAAGCUCCACCCUCUGAUCUUCAGACACCCUUUAUUUGUACAAACAAGAUAUCACCACACCAAUCUCUGUACUUGAUGUUGCAGCUGUACUUGUUUGGUUUCGCACUUGCUAACAUAAACCCACUGUGUUCAAUUUCACUGCUGAGCUACUUGGAACUCACUGCAUGAGAUUUGGACCUGAUAAAACUCUAGUAUCUUGCAUCUCAUCCUAUAGGACUAUUGUUAGUUCUUUACACAGGAGGAAUGAAUGGGCUUUCAUUCAAACUUAAUAUAGCCCAGCAUCAAGUAGUCACCUUAAUGAUCCUUAGACACUCCAAUGGUAAUACUAUAGCUAAAGGAAAGACGAGAGACAGUAUUGCUCAGUAGACAUUCUCUGAUAAGCAUUAUUUGAAUCAAAUUUUCCCUGGAUGAAUUGACCAAAAUAAAUGACCUUAUCUUUUACAGUAUAAUAGUCUUAGUGAGCAAGCUUCACUUCAAAUGGAUUUCUAAUCCAUUAGAUUAGUUGUUGCUUGCAUUUCUUGUGAGGUCAAUCAAUACUGAAAAUUGAAGACAAACUUAUUUGAAUUCUAAUUAAAGUCCUUUUAUUAACAAUUCAACAUUGAAAUAUUUAGAAGCAUGGAAGUUUAUUGAGAAUGUCUUGUGCUUUCUAGACCAUUUCACUCUCCAGAAGCAAAAUAUGAUUUAUGAUGCACAUUUUUGUGUAUUUUCCUUGAAUAUACAGGCAUGCUUGUGUGUUAUAUGUACUAUUCAAAACAUGUAUAAUAAUUAAUGCAUCAUAGAUAUAAUUUCAUUUCUGCCUUUUUCUUUCUGAUAACUCAUAAGUAUUUUGUUGUUAGAUAUCUAACUAGUCUGUGAAUUAGUAGACAUCUAGGUUAUCUUCAAUGUUUUCUAUUAAAUAUUAUUUAGUGCAAGUGUA